CGAAAGUGCUGGUAAUACCCGAUGACGUCACGACAUCGCAUGGUGUCGCGACCAAACGGUGGAGCCUUCGGGCAUCUGCCUGAGGAGGGGCCCAUGUCCUAUUAGCUUGUUGGUGAGGUAACGGCUCACCAAGGCAGCAAUGGGUAGCCGGUCUGAGAGGAUGGUCGGCCACACUGGGACUGAGACACUGCCCAGACUCCUACGGGAGGCUGCAGUCGAGAAUCUUCCGCAAUGCACGAAAGUGUGACGGAGCGACGCCGCGUGGAGGACGAAGGCCCUCGGGUUGUAAACUCCUGACAGAGGGUAUGAAGGCGCCCGUGAUCCACACGGUGCGCUUGACGUAAACCUCAAAGGAAGCUGUGGCUAACUACGUGCCAGCAGCCGCGGUAAUACGUAGACAGCAAGCGUUAUUCGGAUUCACUGGGCAUAAAGGGUGCGUAGGCGGUUCGUCAUGUCGGUUGUGAAAUCCCCCGGCUUACCCGGGGAACUGCAGCCGAAACUGGCGGACUUGAGAACAGGAGGGGAGAGUGGAACUCUAGGUGGAGCGGUGAAAUGCGUUGAUAUCUAGAGGAACGCCAGUAGCGAAAGCGGCUCUCUGGCCUGUCUCUGACGCUGAGGCACGAAAGCUAGGGUAGCGAACGGGAUUAGAUACCCCGGUAGUCCUAGCCGUAAACGAUGGGCACUAGGUAGACGCGGUUUCGACGCCGUGCCUGCCGAAGCUAAUGUGUUAAGUGCCCCGCCUGGGGAGUAUGGUCGCAAGGCUAAAACUCAAAGGAAUUGACGGGGGCUCACACAAGCGGUGG
Molecule: ribosomal RNA, 803 nt
Filed under: uncultured Planctomycetota bacterium
Lineage: Bacteria; Pseudomonadati; Planctomycetota
Description: bacterial SSU rRNA
Rfam family: Bacterial small subunit ribosomal RNA
Source: RNAcentral